UCGAGUAUUGGGGUUCCUUCUGGGCCCCUACUCCCACACCAUGUGUACCUUUACCUUAACGUUGCCUCGGCGAGCCGCCUUCGCGGCGCCGGGCCCCUCGCGGGUCCGGAGAGCGCUCGCCGGAGGACCAACCAAAACUCUUUGUGUUAAUCGACGCAGUCUGAGUCUAAUUCUUUGAAUUAAAUUA
RNAcentral lists this unclassified non-coding RNA (187 nucleotides) under uncultured Botryosphaeriales. RNAcentral describes it as "sequence contains ITS1". The record is from RNAcentral. Lineage: Eukaryota; Fungi; Ascomycota; Dothideomycetes; Botryosphaeriales.